Molecule: unclassified non-coding RNA, 360 nt
Filed under: soil metagenome
Description: partial contains 5.8S ribosomal RNA, internal transcribed spacer 2, and large subunit ribosomal RNA
Rfam family: 5.8S ribosomal RNA (bases 1-120)
Source: RNAcentral
GAUGAAGAACGUAGCGAAAUGCGAUAAGUAAUGUGAAUUGCAGAAUUUAGUGAAUCAUCGAAUCUUUGAACGCAUAUUGCGCCCGCCAGCACUCUGGCGGGCAUGCCUGUUCGAGCGUCAUUUCAACCCUCAGGCCUCGCGUCUGGCGUUGGGGCGCUGCGGCCCUCCCGCAGGCCCCCAAAUUUAGCGGCGGAUUCCCCGCGGCCCUGAGCGCAGUAGAGAGUAAAAACUUUAACGCUCCGGCGGCCGUGGCGCGGUUCUGCCUCUUUCCCAAUAGCGCCAAUAGCGCCACCCCCAAAAAAGUUGACCUCGGAUCAGGUAGGACUACCCGCUGAACUUAAGCAUAUCAAUAAGCGGAGA